CUGUAGCUCUCACGCAUCGCGAAAUUAGGGUUUGCAAUGAGUCAUAGAGGAAUGGACCGCGAACACGAAGACGAAGACGAAGACGAUGAGGAUUACGAGGCGCAGGGUGUCAAUUUCGAUGAAGAGUAAGCGGAGGAGGAGGAGGAUAGAGGCGGUGGAAAGAAGCGGAGAAGAUUUAGUUGUAUCGAUGAUGAUGCGGGUGAGGUUGAUGAAGAUGAGGAAGAAGAGGAUGAUGGGGACGAUGAUUACGAUAGCGGCGGAAAAGCUAUCCGCAAGCGCUAGUUCAAGAAAUUUUUUGCUUCAAAUUUCUUCAAUGAAGAGGCUGAAGUUGAUACAGAUGAUGAAGAGGAGAAAGAAGAAGGGGAAGACGCUCAGUCUCGAAGCUAAAGUGCGUCUCUUAUCUAUGUAGAUAAGCUGAUAACCUGCAUAAGAGAUUAGUCUUCGUAGUUGUGUGUAAGAAUAUCAAGUCUAUAUCAAAGAAUGUAUGAUGUUUGCAUUUGCAUGUAUGGAUCUCUUGAAAUGUAAUCUAGUUAUGUGUUUUAUCUAGCUCAGGUCACAAGGCCGGUAUCAUUUCCAUGUUUUGGAAUGCUGCAUAAAGAGAAGCAUGUUUUACUGCAUUCUGUGGCCGAUGUCGUGGUUGAACAAGGGUACUUGCAAUCCCUUUUUGGUGUAUGCUCUCUUAGAAUUAAAAAUGUUGAAGUUAGAAGGCCACCCAAUGACGAUGUUAAAAUACUCGGCUUUGCAAAUCCUAACGAUUUCAAGAAGGCAUUUUGCUUUUGUAUGAUCAAAUUGUGUGUUUGUGCGCGUGUUUCUUUCCUUAUUUCUUCUUUCACUUUGAACUGUUUCAGGCUGUCAUGAUGCGCCUAUCAAACAUAAGAAUGAGAUAGUUUCAAGACAAGCGUUUACAUUAGAAGAUUCUUCGUAUUUGAUGGUAGAAACUAUUCAAAAAUUUCCUCUAAUUUUUUGG
Molecule: long non-coding RNA, 967 nt
Organism: Vicia villosa (hairy vetch)
Lineage: Eukaryota; Viridiplantae; Streptophyta; Magnoliopsida; Fabales; Fabaceae
Exons: 3
Source: RefSeq, a predicted model, not a curated record